UUCGAAAUACUUGAUUAAAUUUUAAUUUUUAAUUUAAGUUCAAAUUAAAAUUUAAAAUUAUAUAUUAUAUUUUAAUUAAAAAAGUUAAAAAAUAAAUUUAAUCCAAAUAAAUAUCCAUUCCGUCCGGAUUCAACUUUUAAUCCGGCCUCCUAGGCCGGAUUGAAAAAUGAGGUAAUUGGGGGAUUCCCAUUCCACUCAGGAAUCAGAAUCGGAAUGGGACUCUCGUGUACCAAACACCUACAAACGGAUUUACCCAUUCCGAUUCCGAUUCUAGGGUGAAAAAGAAGCGAACCAAACACGCCCUUAAAGUUAGUCAUAAUAGAUAUAGAACUAUUUGACAUAGUCUAUCUUAUCCCUUUUCCAUUUAUUUAAAUUAAAUAGAAUCCUUAUCAGACUUUGAUGAGAAGUCGAUCUGAACUCUAUAUAAAGGGGUAUUGAUCUUGUCAUCUUUUCAUACGCAUUCUGGUGAAAAAUUACAAUCGGUUUCAUACCAUAAAGAAAAGUACCUAGAUAUCUGAUUGUGUAUAAAACUAUUAUAUAUUCACAC
RNAcentral lists this long non-coding RNA (547 nucleotides) under Ananas comosus (pineapple). RNAcentral's name for it is "long non-coding RNA (ACOM_LNC035156)". Lineage: Eukaryota; Viridiplantae; Streptophyta; Magnoliopsida; Poales; Bromeliaceae. The record is from RNAcentral.